UGUUACAGUUCGCAUUGAUUGUAUGAUUCAAGCUUCCCCCUCAACACAAAAACUCAGUAAUAACAAUAGCACUUCUAUUCUUCCUGAUUGUUUGUCACUUUCAACCACGGUACCAUCAAAACAUUUAGAGGUUAUGCAUUCAGAC
Molecule: long non-coding RNA, 145 nt
Organism: Saccostrea echinata
Lineage: Eukaryota; Metazoa; Mollusca; Bivalvia; Ostreida; Ostreidae
Exons: 3
Source: RefSeq, a predicted model, not a curated record